GUAGGUGGCAAGCGUUGUCCGGAAUUAUUGGGCGUAAAGCGCGCGCAGGCGGUUCUUUAAGUCUGAUGUGAAAGCCCACGGCUCAACCGUGGAGGGUCAUUGGAAACUGGAGAACUUGAGUACAGAAGAGGAAAGCGGAAUUCCACGUGUAGCGGUGAAAUGCGUAGAGAUGUGGAGGAACACCAGUGGCGAAGGCGGCUUUCUGGUCUGUAACUGACGCUGAGGCGCGAAAGCGUGGGGAGCAAACAGGGAUUAGAUACCCUGGUAGUCCACGCCGUAAACGAUGAGUGCUAAGUGUUAGGGGGUUUCCGCCCCCUUAGUGCUGCAGCUAACGCAUUAACGCACUCCGCCUGGGGAUACGGCCGCAAGGCUG
This 373-nucleotide ribosomal RNA is filed under the name uncultured organism. RNAcentral's name for it is "partial 16S ribosomal RNA". It matches the Rfam family "Bacterial small subunit ribosomal RNA", at positions 527 to 896 of the family's 1533-position model. The record is from RNAcentral.